This 235-nucleotide ribosomal RNA is filed under the name uncultured Pseudomonas sp. RNAcentral describes it as "partial 16S ribosomal RNA". It matches the Rfam family "Bacterial small subunit ribosomal RNA", at positions 1148 to 1382 of the family's 1533-position model. The record is from RNAcentral. Lineage: Bacteria; Pseudomonadati; Pseudomonadota; Gammaproteobacteria; Pseudomonadales; Pseudomonadaceae.
ACUGCCGGUGACAAACCGGAGGAAGGUGGGGAUGACGUCAGGUCAUCAUGGCCCUUACGGCCUGGGCUACACACGUGCUACAAUGGUCGGUACAAAGGGUUGCCAAGCCGCGAGGUGGAGCUAAUCCCAUAAAACCGAUCGUAGUCCGGAUCGCAGUCUGCAACUCGACUGCGUGAAGUCGGAAUCGCUAGUAAUCGUGAAUCAGAAUGUCACGGUGAAUACGUUCCCGGGCCUU